GAUAUUCGUGUCGCGGGUGUGUUAUAAACAUCAGAGAGAGUGGUUUAGUGUCACUACACACGUGUUCGGUUACCGCACGAGUUGUUAAAGUAGCCUCGUUGUGUCACUUUUGUUAGUAAUGAACGCAGGAGUGUGUCAAGUUUACCGCAAAGUUUCAGUCCUGUGUUCCAGACACGAAUGAUUCCUCAUCCUGUGCUGCUGUUUAAAGUGACCAGACUGCUGGACGAUGAAUCAGGUGAAGAGGCCCUCACACGCACAUUGAACGAGGGGCCCAAGACAUAUCUACAGACCAGAAUAUGACAGACACGGGGCCCUGGACAGACACUGUAUCAUUUCAGACACUUGGGCUCUUUUGAACAGUAAACACCACCCACUCAGAGCACACCAGCAAAGUGGAGUUACAGAGCUGGAAGCGGAGCAGGAGCAGAUCUCUUCAGCAGUCCACAGUCUACUUGUGUCUGAUCUUUACCAUUAUCAGUGGAAACUUAAGAUGCAGAAGAUCACGACUGCAGCAACAAUCAACAGAGAUCCAGCAGCAGCAGCAGAGAUCAACACUAUCAGAGACACUGAAUCUGGAGGAGAUGAAGGAGAGUAAAAGAGAGAAAGUCAUUAAUGUAAGUGAUUGAAUCAGUCUGAUCUACAACAGAAGACCGAGAUCAGCUCAGUGAAUAACUUGUGGAAGUACCUGCACAUGUGUGACAGAGUUGAGUGAUGUCCAGAUGUUGAGUCUGGUUGCUGAUGGGAUUGUUGAGCACACAGCUGUAGGUGUUGUUAUCCUGAUAUUCCACCUCCAGAGGUAGAGAGAGAC
Long non-coding RNA from Cyprinus carpio (common carp), 808 nucleotides. RefSeq lists it as uncharacterized. The record is from RefSeq and is a predicted model, not a curated record. NCBI's taxonomy places the organism in Eukaryota, Metazoa, Chordata, Actinopteri, Cypriniformes, Cyprinidae. The transcript has 3 exons.